RNAcentral lists this ribosomal RNA (517 nucleotides) under uncultured bacterium. Its description in RNAcentral is "bacterial SSU rRNA". It matches the Rfam family "Bacterial small subunit ribosomal RNA", at positions 16 to 518 of the family's 1533-position model. The record is from RNAcentral.
AUCCGUGCGUCAGAACGAACGCUGGCGGCGCGCUUAAGCAUGCAAGUCGGACGGCAAGGGUUGUGCUUGCACAACUCCUAGAGUGGCGGACUGGUGAGUAACGCGUGGGUGACCUGCCCUCGAGAUGGGAUAGCCAUUAGAAAUAGUGGAUAAUACCGAAUACGCUCAUGACCCUGUGGGGAGUAUGAGGAAAACAGGCUACGGCCUGGCUCGAGGAUGGGCCCGCGUCCCAUUAGCUAGUUGGUGAGGUAACGGCCCACCAAGGCGACGAUGGGUAUCCGGCCUGAGAGGGUGUACGGACACAUUGGGACUGAGAUACGGCCCAAACUCCUACGGGAGGCAGCAGCUAAGAAUAUUCCGCAAUGGACGAAAGUCUGACGGAGCGACGCCGCGUGGAUGAAGAAGGCCGGAAGGUUGUAAAAUCCUUUUGAAACUGAAGAAUAAGCGUUGUAGGGAAUGACAGCGUGGUGACAGUAGGUUUUGAAUAAGCAACGGCUAAUUACGUGCCAGCCGCUGC